Molecule: ribosomal RNA, 216 nt
Filed under: uncultured fungus
Lineage: Eukaryota; Fungi
Description: partial small subunit ribosomal RNA
Rfam family: Eukaryotic small subunit ribosomal RNA (bases 92-216)
Source: RNAcentral
GCCGAAGACGGCCGGUCCGCCCUCUGGGUGUGUACCUGGUUCGGCUUGGGCAUUCUUCUGGAGAACGUUACUGUACUUGAGUGUGCGGUGCGGUAUCCAGGACUUUUACUUUGAGAAAAUUAGAGUGUUUCAAGCAGGCAUUUGCCUUGAAUACUCCAGCAUGGAAUAAUAAGAUAGGACUUCGGUCCUAACUUGUUGGUUUCUAGGACUGAAGUA